ACUGCCGGAGCGCCGAGCGGGAGAAGGACGGCGAGCCAAGCGGGGUGGCUGGGUGGGCAGAAGGCGGCGGCGGCGGCGGCGGCGGCGGCUGAUGCGUCGCCCGUUUUCUUCGCCCGUUCCCUCGCCUCUGCCCAGCCCCGCUUCGCCAACAGGCGCCCGCCCUCCUCUCCGCGCCCGCCGGCCUUGCGGGAGCCUCUUUCGGGCCGGGGCCGCGGCGGAGGCUGCUGCUGCUGCUGCUUCCUCGCUUGGAGAGCGCUGCUGGCUUCCCAGCCCGAGUCCGGCCAAGGAUGCCCGGAGGGAGCCCGAGCUAAGAAGCGGAGGCGGAGGGGAGCGGAGAGCUGCUGGCGGACGCGGAAGAGGACUGUGGGAUCCGAGGGAAAGUUUAGCGCCCGGCUGCUCUCAAGUCACCCGUGGAGCCCUGCGAGGUAGCCUGGGCUGGAAACGUCCAAGGUGAGCGCUUGCAAGAACUAAAAGGAAGGACCUCCCGGUCAACCUAGGGAAGGGCUGACCAUGCCACCUUCCAAAGAUGUGGUCAAAAUCGCUGUGCAGAUGAUGGGGGCG
Long non-coding RNA from Thamnophis elegans (Western terrestrial garter snake), 561 nucleotides. RefSeq lists it as uncharacterized. NCBI's taxonomy places the organism in Eukaryota, Metazoa, Chordata, Lepidosauria, Squamata, Natricidae. The transcript has 3 exons. The record is from RefSeq and is a predicted model, not a curated record.